CUGACAAAAUACAAACUCCAAACCAAACCCAAAGCGAAGAAAAGCAGGAAGUGAUUCAAAUCUUACUACUUUCUUCACCGACAUUCAAAACUGUUCAGGUAGAAGACAUUUCCGCAUUGUAACUGUGUGCAGUGUAUUAUUGGUUACUUGGCUCCAGUCUUGCAGCAGCACUGAGUCGGGUGCGGCUGGUCGCUCCGGUUCCUCAUAUCUCAGAACGAGGACCUGGAUUUGGGUGCAGGGUGUGCUGCAAAUUGAAUUUUGCUAAUAAUCUGCCAGAUAGUGUCCAAAGGUUCUCCAGCGUUGCCCCUGACGUUUACUGCUGCAACACCGUUUGCAAGGACAACAUCGAUGGCUUCUGCCUGGCAAAGUGUCCUAUCUGCGCACCAGAGGAUAGUGGACAAUGGAGAUAAGAGGACGGACCAGUGGCUGCUGGUCUACUCCCCCGUCCCGGUGUUGAUCAUCUUCCUGGUUUACCUUUCUGUGGUCUUUGUCGGCCCACGUCUGAUGAAACACAGACAACCCUUUGACCUUAAAGUCAUUCUCAUUAUGUACAACUUUGCCAUGGUCGGCCUGUCUGCCUACAUGUUCUUUGAGUUCCUGGUCACAUCCUGGCUCUCAAACUACAGCUACCUCUGUCAGCCUGUAGAUUACAGCACCAGCCCACUGGCAAUGAGGAUGGCCAGAGUCUGCUGGUGGUUUUUCUUCUCCAAGGUCAUAGAGCUCAGUGACACGCUCUUUUUUAUCCUGAGGAAGAAGAGCAAUCAGGUGACCUUCCUUCACGUUUUCCACCACGGCCCCUUGAUCUUCAACUGGUGGGCGGGAGUCAAGUAUGUGCCCGGCGGACAGUCGUGGUUCAUCGGCCUACUCAACACCUUCGUUCACAUUGUGAUGUAUUCUUACUACGGCCUGGCUGCCAUCGGCCCUCACAUGCAGAAGUACCUGUGGUGGAAGCGAUACCUCACGUCCCUACAGCUGCUGCAGUUCCUGCUGUUCCUCCUGCACACGGGCUACAACCUGUUCACAGAGUGCGACUUCCCCGACUCCAUGAAUAUGUUGGUGUUUGGUUACUGUGUCACCCUCACAGUCCUCUUCGGUAACUUCUAUUAUCAGAGCUACCUCAACAAGAAGAAGCAGAAAUAAGAUGCACAAGUUUCCUGUAACUGCAGUACUCACCAGCGUCCACUAGAGGGAACAACAUGCCCACAGUCUACGGAGGACAUGUGGCUCAGGCUGCGGUCGAAGCUGCCCACCUGGAAGAAAAUGCUCUCCUCUGGGCUGGAAGAGAACUGGCACCCUGCGCCGCCUUGCAGCUCCUGGGUCAAGCUGAAGCCUGGAACAGACAAGAUCAAGUGCAGUUUGUUUAACAUUUUGAUGAAAUCAAUCAGGUGAUCUGUUAUGAUCUUUUACGAUUCUGGCAUUUAGGCUCUAGGUCAGUUGUCCUCACCUGCAGUGCCAGUGUUGCCAGUCGACAUGUGGAAGCCAUUGUGCUGAUGGGAAGUGUAGGCGUGAGAAUCUCCUGGGACGUGGACACCACCGACCGUCUGCUCCAUCCUGUAGGAGUCUCCGAAAUGGAAGCAGCUCUGAAAGCUGCCUUGGUAUUCUAGGAAAUGAGGGGAGGAUGUACAGGAGCAGGGAGGAGGAAGAGAGGAGAAAAAUAGAAGCCAGGCUUGAUCGACUGCCACCAGUGUCUAUGGGUGAUUGUUUCCAAGGUAAUUGUGCAUGCCGCCGAGAAAGAGGCACUGAAACCGCGAGGUAAUUUCGACAGCGUUCUCCUCCUACUUUCAAGGCUUGAAACAACACAUCACCUUCCAGAUGCUUCCAGGCCGACCCAACGUCUCUGAGUGGCGCUCGGACGUUUACAUCCAGACGGUUUCACCGCGCUGGCCCGCUGCACUGUUUGUGCUGGAAGUCUGCUGUGCCUCACACCCCAAUCACAGGCAAUCAUUGACCAUAAGUAGGACACAUCUCCACAGCUACAUCCAUGUUACACAUCCACAGAGGACUCACCCAUCUCUCGUGCCGUCCAUGGCAGCCAGCGGGGACAGGUGAUGAGGGCUGCAGAGGUCCCGGUCUGGUUGGUGUUGUCGGGAGGGCAGCAUCCACGAGGAGAGCAGCGGACUGACUGUCUGGGGCAGUUAACCAGCGUCGAGAGGAGAAGACAGGAGGAGAUGAAAGGAAGAGAAAAGAGCGGUGCUCCUGGUUUUGCCGUUUCCAGGCCCAGCUGUUCUCAAGUGGAAGCAUGCAGAGGCCUGAUCUGACAGCACUCUGAAAUGGUUACAAGCUUGAUUCAUUACCCCCAAAUCAUCAAUCACAGACCUUAAAUGUUUUCCCCUUUAGCCCCAACAUCUGCUACCAGACCGGCAAAACAGUCGACAAAUAAUGGCUGUGAUUGCCUCAAUUUCAUCACUAGUUCCUUGUGGAGUGAGAGAGAGAGGGGAUCUGAUGGCACUCUUUAAGGGUUAGUAGAGGAUUAUGUUCUGAAAAUGUUGUGGAUUGGCUGAAAGGCUUCUGGUUGAGUUCAGGAAGAAAGCUCUGUGUGAGAGGGCGAUGGAGAGGUAUAUCAGCCUCUCAGCAUAAGAGCAGGAGCAUGUUAACCUCUGCACUACAAGUAUGAUGAGUCCUUCCUCUGGUUAAUCAGAGAACACUCUAAUUAUGCUCUAUAAAACAGAGAGGGGCUUCUCGUAAGUCUCGCUGCAGCCAUGUGAAUAAGAGCAGACUUAUAACCCGUGAACAGGAAAACAAGUUUAGUUCUGACUGGAAGCAUGACUCAUUUUCUGCUCCACAAGUGUUAAUGAUGGGAUGGCAGGCCACUUUGCCCCACCUCUUCUAUGCAUCCUAUUGGCCCUGUAAGAAAGUGAAACUCAUGCAAAUGGGGAUCCUGCAUGCCAACCUGUAACAUCUUUGCUGGCCUCGAAUAACACUGCAUCCCUGAACGCUUGGCUCACGAGCAAGCUCCUCUGGGCUUUAAAACAUUUAAAACAAGAGAGCAAGCAACAUCCACUCAGAAACAGAGGGAGGCCGAGGGGAAAAAGCCAAGACUCAGAGACCCGGUUCGACAUUCAAAGACAAGUUGAGAGUUCACAGUCGUCAACGGUGCGCUGGACUUCCAGCAACAAUAACAGAGAGCAACGGGGAACCUGGAUGGGGUACAGGCAGAAAACAAGGACAGAUGUGUCUAUAAAGUGAAGAAGCUGCGGGGCAUCUCUCUUGUCUUUAAGAUUGUUAUAAUAAUCUAUUUAUCUCUCUCUUGUUCCCAAUUCCAAAGUAGGGUUAACGUUUGGUGACGGUCAAAUUCAUCAAUUAGAAAACUGGAAGGCCACAUGUGAUGAAUAAAAGUUUCUGUUUGUA
This is an RNA transcript of Siniperca chuatsi (mandarin fish), 3348 nucleotides long. It is a transcript of the gene named ELOVL fatty acid elongase 8b, with no coding region annotated. The transcript has 12 exons. Lineage: Eukaryota; Metazoa; Chordata; Actinopteri; Centrarchiformes; Sinipercidae. The record is from RefSeq and is a predicted model, not a curated record.